RNAcentral lists this long non-coding RNA (1225 nucleotides) under Bemisia tabaci. Its description in RNAcentral is "lncRNA ENSSSA2NGG011470". Lineage: Eukaryota; Metazoa; Arthropoda; Insecta; Hemiptera; Aleyrodidae. The record is from RNAcentral.
GACAUUUUUGCGAAGUCUUGCUCCCUUGGCUGCUGAAUGAGAAAACCUCCGAGUGCCGCAUUGACCUUUUCGGUGGAUUUUUUUUAAAAAAAGAAAGUUUUCAUUUUCAGUAAAAUAAUGUUUCUAUUCAAAUGCAAUGUUCAAUGAAAUACUCAUCCUCAUCGAUGAAAGAGUUGUUUCUGUGAUGUGAAAAAAAGAAAAGAAAAUCUUCAUUCCAAAACUUGCUCUUCUUUGUAAAAAACUUUUCGCCUGAACAAAAGUUUACUUUGAAUCGAAGGAAUGUUUGUUUUAAUAUUUUAAAAAAUGUUGUUCAGCCAUUUUUCAGUGCGUCCUAUCCAUUUUCACUUGAGGGACGGGAAAAAACGAAGAAACUUUUGUUUUAGUUUCGGAAAAAACGUUCUUUAACAAUUUUUUUAGUGCAUUCUAUCCGUUUCCCACUUGAGAGAGAGAGAAAAAAAAUCUCCUCCUAUAAUCCUCCCAUUCCCCAGUGACUCACUUGCCGAUACGCGGUUCUCCAAAUAAGCUGCACCCGGAUCAAAACGGUGGGGCUCACGACCGUAAGACAGGCAAUUAAUGAUCGACAAGUUAGAUGACUGCGACGUUCCGAAGCUAUGCAAUUUGAUGAUUAGUCGCUGAAAAAACAAUCGGGCCCCGGAUCCGACUUCCCAUUCCGGCGCGGCGCGCCCGUCAAGAACCAGAAGUGACAUCACUAUUGACUUUUCGUAAAAUCAACGGACCAUCCAUCUUAUGAGUCUGCUAAAACAUCGGUAUGGGGUGUGACGGCACCUCCGUAAUUUAUCGCAAGCCAAAGGUUCUCCUUUCGAGAGUGAAAGUUUCGCGACCGCAAUCGUCCUUAGGUCUUCCUCGAUGGGCGGGGGGUAUUGAAGGGGGGGGGGAUUGUCGGAUUCCCCCGAAAUAUCAACAACGCCCCCCUCCCCCGCCUCCGUCCCCCGGGAUGCAUGUGUGUCCAGUGGAGCGCUGCAAAACUGGUUUGAAUACGGAUCGUGUUCGCGAUACUGUUGCCGUGCGGAAUGUUUUUGAAGGAUUUUCGCUGCGAGUAGACUGACAGUGAAUGUAAUGAUGUAAUAAUUUUUUAAAUUAAUAUUCAUGUUGCAUAACUGCUUUUCUAAGGGUUUACAUGUAAAAUGCCGUCGACAAGACGACACAAUAUAUAGGACACCGAAAAAAUGCUUUGAGGAUGCAAUCAGACUUCUUAAGGCAAUGA